This 156-nucleotide microRNA precursor is filed under the name Pelobates cultripes (western spadefoot toad). Lineage: Eukaryota; Metazoa; Chordata; Amphibia; Anura; Pelobatidae. The record is from RNAcentral.
UGGUUCAAUAGAGAAAAAAAAACAAGCAAACAGUGCAGAAGAUGGUGCUAGAAGGGUAGAGUAAAAACAAUAUAUAUAUUUAUUUUGAUUUUAAUCUCCCCUUCUAGCACCAUCUUCUGCACUGUUUGCUUGUUUUUUUCCCUCUCUCUCUGAUCU